Molecule: non-coding RNA, 1953 nt
Organism: Xyrichtys novacula (pearly razorfish)
Lineage: Eukaryota; Metazoa; Chordata; Actinopteri; Labriformes; Labridae
Source: the annotation of a GenBank genome assembly
UGGAGCUAAAAUAACCACUCAGCUGGUAGCUCGCCUGUUUCUAGAUAAUGCUGCAGCUGAAUGAAUUUGACACCAAAUUGCUGGUGCUCUCAGUGAGGACAGGAGAACAAGUCUGACUCUGCGCUUCAACCGUGUGGCAGCAGGGAUUAUAAAGCUCCGCUAAAGGGGAGGGGGCAGUGGGUGUCCGAGGGGGGUCUGAGAGUCAGGGGUGGGGUAUCCCCUCCUCUUUACUCGGUUAACAAAUGUUUGCAGAUGAUUGACACAGCACUCAACGAUAGCGUGUCUAUAAUCAAAUAGUAAAUGUGACAUAAUGAAGCAGUCUGACAGUCUCAGAUUUGUUGGGUUACAAAUGUACGUAGAAAUCAAAGUCCCAGGCCUGCACAAAAUAUGUUGUCUACAAAUUACAUCCAUCAGACUCAGAUGAAGACCAGUUAGCCUGAUUAAUAAUGGCAUCACAUCAUCAUAAACGUUUCUGUCUAUGAUGAUAUAUUUUCCCUACCCUAAAAUACAUCCUAUCAAAUCUAACGUACUAACUGGCCAGUGCUUUUUAUAAUGUUGUGAUGUUAGGAAUGCAGUUUAGUGAUGAUAAUAUAUAAUAGUAAUGUUCUGUAACCUACAGCAUAACCAUAUGUAGUUGUAUUUUAAUACAACUUAAAUAUGCCACUGGCUACACUGGCCACCAUACGCAUGUAUAUUAUAUUAUAAUGUACAUGGAGUAAUGGAAUAAACAAGUUUUUUUGGUAAUACUUUACAACAACCACAAUCUAUAAUAUAAAUGGUAAAUAGAUAGUUUAUUAAUGUUUAAUCAUCAUUUAAAAACAGCAUAUAGACCAAUUAUAAAUGGCAAAUAAAUAGUUUAUUAAAGUAAGUUAAUAGUUACUUUACUAAACUUUCUGCUUACCAUAUAUAAAUAGUCUAUUUACCAUUUAUAAGUUACAGUUAUUGUAAAGUGUUACCUUUAUUUAUUUAUUUUUUUUUUUGUCUUUCACAGUUUUGUCUAUUUAAUUUAUAGCAGGACAUAAAUCCCCAGAGGCGAUAUUUUACUUUGCCAAUGCUCAUUGAUUCAAUCUCAGUAAUUAUAUUUCUCAUUUAUUGUGAAAGUAUUGUGAAAACUAUUGAACUUCAUGAAAUGUAAAAACAACAGUGUGUUAUCGGCAUAGUAUAUUGGCCAUUGCCUGUCCUGCUCGCUCAUUACUUGUGUCAGUACCAGUGUUCCAGCCAUUUAAAGACCAAGACUGAUCAACAGACUCCCUCAGUAUGUUACACAAGCUGUGAAGAAGUUUGCAGACAGCUAUGGAAACGGUACUGGCAGCCUGACUUACAAGUAUGGAACAUUUUCCAGACCAUGAAUAAUGCACAGGAAAAAAAAAAAAAGAAGCUGAUAUUCAAUUAAAGCAAUAGAAUUCUGACAAUUUCUAAUGUUUUGGACAUCUCUUAUUUGUUCUUCUGGAUUGAUUGCUGUUGGAUUGGAUUUGCUUUGUUCAAUAGUUUAAUUAGUAAUCACUGAUUUAUUACCACGUUCAGUAAAAAACAACUUGUGUUGUUGUCUUUUAAAUUUAACACGUGGUGCAGAUUAAGAUCAAAUCUGGAGUGUCCUCUUCAUUUUUCUGACCCUGUUAUGGGGCUUGUGCUGUGAGUGUGAAGUGAUGGAUAGCACUGGUCACAAUCUAAUUUUCUCUUGAUAAUUAGUUUACUGUUGCUCCCUGCUGCCUUUUUCACAGAUGGUGUCUGACUUUUCUCCUCCUUGUUUUUACAGACAACCUGUUGGUUUGAGAUUUCUCGCCUCCCUGCAGCUUUCUGCUGUUUGGACAAGAGCCUCCUCUCCAAACUGCUCCAUCUGAGCGGGCUACAGGGGGAGGAUGCUUUACAGUGCCAGCAACCACCAAAAUAAAGCUGAAAAUUAAAAAAAAAUAAAUAAAUCUUUCCUUUUUUUCCCUUUUUCCUCUUUUCUCC